Syngnathus typhle (broad-nosed pipefish) is the source of this 478-nucleotide long non-coding RNA. RefSeq lists it as uncharacterized. The transcript is spliced from 2 exons. The record is from RefSeq and is a predicted model, not a curated record. Lineage: Eukaryota; Metazoa; Chordata; Actinopteri; Syngnathiformes; Syngnathidae.
UGUUUGCUUCACUGUAAAAUCUGAGGAUUUGAAGGAGGAAUGACUUAUCGGGAGAUUGGCAAUGAUGGUUUUGAAAAUCAGGAGUCUCUUGCCUGAAUCGGAAAAUUUGGCAAGUAUAUGCUGUUUGUCAUUACGCUAGCUGACUUAAAGAACAAUGACUGGAAGUGACAUUAAACAGCUUGGAGCUUCCUGGAAGAAUUGUUCACAAUCUGCCAAACUGCUACUUGGGAAAAGCGCCCUGAGAUAAGCCCCUAAAGUGACAUGAGGGGAAAAAAGAAAUAUGUUCCUCAUUAGGACAAGAAACUUUGUUUCACAUGGAAGACCUUCUUCUGCUGUUCCCUCUUCUUUUGCUAUGCUGCUGUGGCAGCAGACAUAGAGGGGAAAAAAAAGCCAAACAAGCUCGAGGGGAAACAAAUUUCAGUUGUAUUUUGUUUCCUGACUGUUGUCAAAUAAUUAUACAAUAAAAUACCAAAUGAUG